UAACGAAUCUUCCGCAAUGGGCGAAAGCCUGACGGAGCAAUGCCGCGUGUGGGAUGAAGCGCCUUCGGCGUGUAAACCACUGUCAGGGAAUGGAACCAAUGAUUAUUCCCAAAGGAAGUGGCGACUAACUCUGUGCCAGCAGUCGCGGUAAUACAGAGGCCACAAGCGUUAGUCGGAAUCACUGGGCUUAAAGGGUGCGUAGGCGGGCCCGCAAGCGUCUUGUGAAAUCCCAUGGCUCAACCAUGGAAUUGCAGGGCGAACUGCGGGUCUUGAGGCAGGUAGGGGCCGGAAGAACAGUAGGUGGAGCGGUGAAAUGCGUAGAUAUCUACUGGAAUGCCGAUGGGGAANCCGUCCGGCUGGGCCUGUCCUGACGCUGAGGCACGAAAGCGUGGGGAGCAAACAGGAUUAGAUACCCACGUAGUCCCUGAGCGGGCUGGCAAGGCGCAU
Molecule: ribosomal RNA, 447 nt
Filed under: uncultured bacterium
Lineage: Bacteria
Description: bacterial SSU rRNA
Rfam family: Bacterial small subunit ribosomal RNA
Source: RNAcentral